Serratia proteamaculans 568 is the source of this 244-nucleotide non-coding RNA. The record is from Rfam. NCBI's taxonomy places the organism in Bacteria, Pseudomonadati, Pseudomonadota, Gammaproteobacteria, Enterobacterales, Yersiniaceae.
UGUGCAUGAAUAGUGAGCGGUCAGAUAAAAAGUGAAUAUAAACCCUUGUCAUUCUGAACCAGCUCCCUAUAAUGCGCCUCCAUCGACACGGAACAUGUGAACAACUUCACAGAGUCUCCGGGGUUCGAAGAGAAAAAAUCCUGAAAUUUAGGGGUUGACUCUGAAAGAGGAAAGCGUAAUAUACGCCACCUCGAGAUAGCAAGCUACGGCGGCUAACUCACUGCUCUUUAACAAUUUAUCAGAC